RNAcentral lists this ribosomal RNA (850 nucleotides) under Morinia acaciae. RNAcentral describes it as "partial 28S ribosomal RNA". It matches the Rfam family "Eukaryotic large subunit ribosomal RNA", at positions 34 to 907 of the family's 3401-position model. Lineage: Eukaryota; Fungi; Ascomycota; Sordariomycetes; Amphisphaeriales; Sporocadaceae. The record is from RNAcentral.
UUAAGCAUAUCAAUAAGCGGAGGAAAAGAAACCAACAGGGAUUGCCUUAGUAACGGCGAGUGAAGCGGCAAUAGCUCAAAUUUGAAAUCUGGCGCUUGCGUCCGAGUUGUAAUUUGUAGAGGAUGAUUUUAGUUAGGUACCUUUCGAGUUCCUUGGAACAGGACGCCUUAGAGGGUGAGAGCCCCGUACGAUUGGAUGCCGAGCUUCUGUAAAUCUCCUUCGACGAGUCGAGUAGUUUGGGAAUGCUGCUCUAAAUGGGAGGUAAAUUUCUUCUAAAGCUAAAUACCGGCCAGAGACCGAUAGCGCACAAGUAGAGUGAUCGAAAGAUGAAAAGCACUUUGAAAAGAGGGUUAAAUAGCACGUGAAAUUGUUGAAAGGGAAGGAUUUAUGACCAGACUUUUUCUGGGAGAAUCAUCCGGUGUUCUCACCGGUGCACUUCUUUCAGUUUAGGCCAGCAUCGACUUUCAGCGGCGGAUAAAAGCUUUAGGAAUGUGGCUUCCCUCGGGAAGUGUUAUAGCCUACUGUAUAAUACGCUGCUGGGGGUCGAGGUACGCGCUUCUGCAAGGAUGCUGGCGUAAUGGUUAUCAAUCACCCGUCUUGAAACACGGACCAAGGAGUCGAACAUUUGUGCAAGUGUUUGGGUGUUAAACCCCUACGCGUAAUGAAAGUGAACGGAGGUGAGAGCCCCUUACGGGGUGCAUCAUCGACCGAUCCUGAUGUUUUCGGAUGGAUUUGAGUAAGAGCAUAAAUGUUCGGACCCGAAAGAUGGUGAACUAUGCGUGGAUAGGGUGAAGCCAGAGGAAACUCUGGUGGAGGCUCGCAGCGGUUCUGACGUGCAAAUCGAUCGUCA